This 24-nucleotide non-coding RNA is filed under the name Mus musculus (house mouse). The record is from RNAcentral. Lineage: Eukaryota; Metazoa; Chordata; Mammalia; Rodentia; Muridae.
UGAGACCUGAAGGCUUGAAUGUAA